CGGUGGAGCAUGUGGUUUAAUUCGAAGCAACGCGAAGAACCUUACCAGGCCUUGACAUGCAGAGAACUUUCCAGAGAUGGAUUGGUGCCUUCGGGAACUCUGACACAGGUGCUGCAUGGCUGUCGUCAGCUCGUGUCGUGAGAUGUUGGGUUAAGUCCCGUAACGAGCGCAACCCUUGUCCUUAGUUACCAGCACGUUAAGGUGGGCACUCUAAGGAGACUGCCGGUGACAAACCGGAGGAAGGUGGGGAUGACGUCAAAUCAUCAUGGCCCUUACGGCCUGGGCUACACACGUGCUACAAUGGUCGGUACAAAGGGUUGCCAAGCCGCGAGGUGGAGCUAAUCCCAUAAAGCCGGUCUCAGUUCGGAUUGCAGGCUGCAAUUCGCCUGCAUGAAGUCGGAAUCGCUAGUAAUCGCAGGUCAGCAUACUGCGGUGAAUACGUUCCCGGGCCUU
RNAcentral lists this ribosomal RNA (453 nucleotides) under uncultured Pseudomonas sp. Its description in RNAcentral is "bacterial SSU rRNA". It matches the Rfam family "Bacterial small subunit ribosomal RNA", at positions 930 to 1382 of the family's 1533-position model. Lineage: Bacteria; Pseudomonadati; Pseudomonadota; Gammaproteobacteria; Pseudomonadales; Pseudomonadaceae. The record is from RNAcentral.